RNAcentral lists this ribosomal RNA (484 nucleotides) under uncultured bacterium. RNAcentral describes it as "partial 16S ribosomal RNA". It matches the Rfam family "Bacterial small subunit ribosomal RNA", at positions 30 to 507 of the family's 1533-position model. The record is from RNAcentral.
AUUGAACGCUGGCGGCAUGCCUAACACAUGCAAGUCGAGCGGAUGAAGGGUGCUUGCUCCUGGAUUCAGCGGCGGACGGGUGUGUAAUGCCUAUGAAUCUGCCUGCUAGUGGGUUAUAACGUCCGGAAACGGGCGCUAAUACUGCAUACGUCCUGAGGGUGCACGUGGGGGAUCUUCGGACCUCACGCUAUCAUAUGAGCCUAGGUCGGAUUAGCUAGUUGGUGGGUUAAAGGCCUACCAAGCCGACGAUCCGUAACUGGUCUGAGAGGAUGAUCAGUCACACUGGAACUGAGACACGGUCCAGACUCCUACGGGAGGCAGCAGUGGGGAAUAUUGGACAGUGGGCGAAAGCAUGAUCCAGCCAUGCCGAGUGUGUGAAGAAGGUCUUCGGAUUGUAAAGCACUUUAAGUUGGGAGGAAGGGCAGUAAGUUAAUACCUUGCUGUUUUGACGUUACCAACAGAAUAAGCACCGGCUAACUUCGUG